This 499-nucleotide ribosomal RNA is filed under the name uncultured Glomeromycotina. Its description in RNAcentral is "partial small subunit ribosomal RNA". It matches the Rfam family "Eukaryotic small subunit ribosomal RNA", at positions 591 to 1092 of the family's 1831-position model. The record is from RNAcentral. Lineage: Eukaryota; Fungi; Glomeromycota.
CCAAUAGCGUAUAUUAAAGUUGCUGCAGUUAAAAAGCUCGUAGUUGAAUUUCGGGACUAAUAUGUUGGUCGUGCCUCGGUACGUACUGGUAUUAUUGGUUUCUCCCUUCUGAAGAACCUUGAUGUCAUUAAUUUGGUGUCUUGGGGAAUCAGGACUGUUACUUUGAAAAAAUUAGAGUGUUUAAAGCAGGCUCGCGCUUGAAUACAUUAGCAUGGAAUAAUGAAAUAGGACGUUUGAUUCUAUUUUGUUGGUUUCUAGGAUCGACGUAAUGAUUAAUAGGGAUAGUUGGGGGCAUUAGUAUUCAAUUGUCAGAGGUGAAAUUCUUGGAUUUAUUGAAGACUAACUACUGCGAAAGCAUUUGCCAAGGAUGUUUUCAUUAAUCAAGAACGAAAGUUAGGGGAUCGAAGACGAUCAGAUACCGUCGUAGUCUUAACCAUAAACUAUGCCGACUAGGGAUCGGAUGAUGUUAAUUUUUUAAUGACUCAUUCGGCGCCUUACG